Molecule: ribosomal RNA, 253 nt
Filed under: uncultured bacterium
Lineage: Bacteria
Description: partial 16S ribosomal RNA
Rfam family: Bacterial small subunit ribosomal RNA
Source: RNAcentral
CACGUAGGGCGCAAGCGUUGUCCGGAAUUAUUGGGCGUAAAGAGCUCGUAGGCGGUCUGUUACGUCUGCUGUGAAAACCCGGGGCUUAACCCUGGGCUUGCAGUGGAUACGGGCAGACUAGAGGCAGGUAGGGGAGAAUGGAAUUCCCGGUGUAGCGGUGAAAUGCGCAGAUACCGGGAGGAACACCGGUGGCGAAGGCGGUUCUCUGGGCCUGACCUGACGCUGAGGAGCGAAAGCGUGGGGAGCGAACAGG